RNAcentral lists this ribosomal RNA (440 nucleotides) under uncultured bacterium. Its description in RNAcentral is "partial 16S ribosomal RNA". It matches the Rfam family "Bacterial small subunit ribosomal RNA", at positions 338 to 795 of the family's 1533-position model. The record is from RNAcentral.
CCUACGGGAGGCAGCAGUGCGGAAUAUUGGGCAAUGGGGGCAACCCUGACCCAGCCAUGCCGCGUGAGUGAAGAAGUUCUUCGGAUUGUAAAGCUCUUUCGGCCGUGACGAUGGUGACGGUGGCGUCUAACUAAGCACCGGCCAACUUCGUGCCAGCAGCCGCGGUAAUACGACGGGUGCGAGCGUUGUUCGGAAUUACUGGGCGUAAAGGGAGUGUAGGCGGGGAUGUAGGAUAGCGGUGAAAUGCCGGGGCUCAACCCCGGAACUGCCAUUAUGACUAUGUAUCUAGAGUAAUGGAGAGGAUAGCGGAAUACCCAGUGUAGAGGUGAAAUUCGUAGAUAUUGGGUAGAACACCGGUGGCGAAGGCGGCUAGCUGGACAGUUACUGACGCUGAGGUUCGAAAGCAUGGGGAUCAAACAGGAUUAGAUACCCGGGUAGUC